Molecule: ribosomal RNA, 497 nt
Filed under: uncultured bacterium
Lineage: Bacteria
Description: partial 16S ribosomal RNA
Rfam family: Bacterial small subunit ribosomal RNA
Source: RNAcentral
GACGAACGCUGGCGGCGUGCCUAAUACAUGCAAGUAGAACGCUGAAGAGAGGAGCUUACUCUUCUUGGAUGAGUUGCGAACGGGUGAGUAACGCGUAGGUAACCUGCUUUGUAGCGGGGGAUAACUAUUGGAAACGAUAGCUAAUACCGCAUAACAAUGGAUGACACAUGUCAUUUAUUUGAAAGGGGCAAUUGCUCCACUACAAGAUGGACCUGCGUUGUAUUAGCUAGUAGGUGAGGUAAUGGCUCACCUAGGCGACGAUACAUAGCCGACCUGAGAGGGUGAUCGGCCACACUGGGACUGAGACACGGCCCAGACUCCUACGGGAGGCAGCAGUAGGGAAUCUUCGGCAAUGGGGGCAACCCUGACCGAGCAACGCCGCGUGAGUGAAGAAGGUUUUCGGAUCGUAAAGCUCUGUUGUAAGUCAAGAACGGGUGUGAGAGUGGAAAGUUCACACUGUGACGGUAGCUUACCAGAAAGGGACGGCUAACUACGUG